UCCGGUAUAUUGACACAUUAACUUUUUGGUACAAGCUAUAUACAUGAUAUAUAUAAAGAGUCGGUUACAGAGGCGGAUUUAAGGGGAGGGGGCAGGGGACAGAGAAAUAGAGUGGUUGCUUAUAUAGGGAAUCACUGAAGUGUGACAUUUCGGUCCCCUCUUUGGCAGCCAGUGGGCCUGGAUCCGCCACUGGGUUAUCCUACAGUUUUUGAGAUACAGCAAAACUGUUCUUUUAU
Molecule: long non-coding RNA, 236 nt
Filed under: Mytilus galloprovincialis (Mediterranean mussel)
Lineage: Eukaryota; Metazoa; Mollusca; Bivalvia; Mytilida; Mytilidae
Source: RNAcentral